This 416-nucleotide ribosomal RNA is filed under the name uncultured microorganism. Its description in RNAcentral is "bacterial SSU rRNA". It matches the Rfam family "Bacterial small subunit ribosomal RNA", at positions 9 to 421 of the family's 1533-position model. The record is from RNAcentral.
GAGUUUGAUCGUGGCUCAGAUUGAACGCUGGCGGCAUGCCUUACACAUGCAAGUCGAACGGCAGCAUGAUCUAGCUUGCUAGAUUGAUGGCGAGUGGCGAACGGGUGAGUAAUACAUCGGAACGUGCCCUGUAGUGGGGGAUAACUAGUCGAAAGAUUAGCUAAUACCGCAUACGACCUGAGGGUGAAAGUGGGGGACCGCAAGGCCUCAUGCUAUAGGAGCGGCCGAUGUCUGAUUAGCUAGUUGGUGGGGUAAAGGCCCACCAAGGCGACGAUCAGUAGCUGGUCUGAGAGGACGAUCAGCCACACUGGGACUGAGACACGGCCCAGACUCCUACGGGAGGCAGCAGUGGGGAAUUUUGGACAAUGGGCGAAAGCCUGAUCCAGCAAUGCCGCGUGUGUGAAGAAGGCCUUCGG